GGUAUUAGCUCAGUUGGUUAAAGCAUGGAGCUAAUAGCACCAAGGUUGUGGGUUUGAUCCCUGCAUGAGCUG
Lamprotornis superbus is the source of this 72-nucleotide non-coding RNA. The record is from the annotation of a GenBank genome assembly. Lineage: Eukaryota; Metazoa; Chordata; Aves; Passeriformes; Sturnidae.